UUUCAUUGUGACUCAGAUGAAACCCAAUUUGACCAAUUUAAAUACGUCAAUGACGAGUGUGUGUCAAUUCAUUCCUAAAAUGAUGUUUUAAAGUAGUACUUUGAUAUUUUACUCAUGCUAACAUGAUAUGACUCUUUAAAAUGUUUGCAUGGAUGUUGAUUUUUAAAGUGUAUUUAUGACUUUGAAGAAAUCUUGUGACAUUUAAUUCUGUAUUGAUGCAGUUUGGACUUCCUUGCUUUCUCUGGUGGUUUUCUCCCUGCUAGUCUUUCUCAUCCUUUGUGCCCUUGACACCACUUUGACAAAGUGUUUCCCACUCUACCUUGUUCCCUGCUUUUUGUGCCCCUCGUUUAAAGAAUAUCCAAUUCUGCCUUGUAUACCCUCCUAUCUAACUUAUCUGACCAUGUGUCUUCACUCCUUUUUGGGUUAUAGACUUCCCUUCUUUAAUCUCUCCUCAUAGCAGUAGUAAUUGUUGACAAAAAUGAAUUUAACCUGACCGAACCCUUGUAUCCACAGGGGGAGAAGGGAAAGAAGGGCAAAAAAGGGCCUAAGGGCGAGAAAGGAGAACAGGGUGCCCCAGGAUUAGAUGCACCCUGCCCAUUGGGUCCGGAUGGAUUACCAAUGCCUGGUUGCUGGCAGAAGUGAUCACUCUAACCUGAAACGCAUGGAGUUUGUAAAUAAUGCUUCUUUUAUGGUAUUUAUAGUUUUUUAAUGGAAAAAAAAAGGAGUCAAAAAGAAAUAAGUCUAUGUGUGCAACAAUACAAAAGAAAAAAAAAGAUAACCGUCUGUAAGCUGCUUCUACUCACAUCGCUGUGUGGAAACAAAAACACGUGUGUGCGUCCCGCUGUCUCACAUCUGCUUCGUGAUGGAGUUCAGAUCCUCGGCUGCCGGCAGAACUCGUGUCUUUAGGUUUUUGCAUGGCUCGGACUGGAGCGUGGCAGCCCCGCCAGAUCCUAAGGGUUGGAAGGAGUGAGACGAGAAGAAGUGGAGUUGGGAAGUGGAGGAAAUGGGAUCUGGAUUGGCUUCUUAACACAAAACGCUAAGUGUCGUGUGCUGUUUUGUCUCCAUGAGCUCACCAACUAUUCAUGCGGCACCAUUUGCUCAAAGACUAAAAAAACAUUCGAAAAGGGAAAAAAAGACUGCACUGAGCUGACUGAACAUUGCUUUUCCCCCUCAACCCCCCAUCCCUUGAAAAAGCAUGAGUAGUGUACUAUAUUUAAAUGUAAUGUACAUACAUGUCACUGUUAUGUGAUUGUUUCAUAAUUUGUGUGGGAAAAAAAAAAUCUGAAAAAUCAGAAGGCCCAAAGCUCUGAAAUGGUAACUUUUUCUUCCCUUUUAAUCUUCUUAAGGGAGUCACACCGUGGCUUGUAGCCUGAGUACCCUCCUUCCCCUUCUGAGAGUAAAGGUGUCAGUACAUAUAUAUAUUUUUUGCUUUAUUUGUGGCGAGGCCUGCCGAGCGAACAGUCUCGUAAGGCUUUUGCUGUUGCACUCAAGGGGCUCGACAUCGUCAGUGCGGCGCUUCCUCAGGGUCGCGUAUCUCUGGACAAGAGUCUCUGCACUGGCAAGAAAACCAAUCAGUCUCACGCAGUUUGGAUUGGAGCCUGGACAGGAGUGCUUGGUGAGCACGGGAAUGGAAGUGGAUUCUGCAGGAGAGUCGCUCAUCGUUCUCCCUGUGAGAUGAAACAGGAGACGCUUCGAGAUCUUCUGAGAACGUUGAUAGAAUGCAGUUGUGAUUUUUUCUUUAUUCAUUUUUUAUUAUUUUUUCUUCUUUUUUUUUACACAUCAUUUGUAUUUUCUGUAAUAUAGCCUUUGGUGCCUCAAGCUUUUAUUCAUUCCUUUAUCAAAAGAGUUUAUACUUUAUUUUAAACCAUUUGGUUGGUGUUUAUUUCAAAAUGAAGGAGACAUUUUGUUUGGGAAGGACUGAAAAGACGUUGCGCACUGUUUUUGUUUUGAUAUGUUUUGUCUUCACCAAGAAUAACUCCGUCUGGUUAUCAGUAAGUUGGCAUUGAUUUCAACCAUAUGUCCACUAAAGCUGCUUAGUGUUUGCAUAAAACAUUGUGGCAGUGAAUGGAAGUAGCUGAAAGUGUUACUUUUAGCUACUUCCCUGGAAUAACUCACAAACGUUGUUCCAGGGACAUCUCCUCUCACACAACUCAAAUUCUCCAAGUUUAUAAGUUACUCUUGGUAUUGAAAACUCGCUUGCAAAUAUGCUGAAGUUGUGAGAGAUCUCGUGUACAGUGUGGUCAAGUUUUCUGCAUGAACACCGUUUAGAAAAUGUAGAUUUAAAAAGAAAACUGUAAUUUUUGAUGGAGUGUAUCCAAAGGCUAUUUAAAUCCAUUUAAGGUCUAAAGUAGAAAAGGUUAUUGUCAACAUAAUAGUCUAUAGCAAACUUCUUUACACCUAUAAAUCUUCUAUAUUGUCUUACAUACUGUAUAUGGUGACAAUAUAAUAUUGAAGUACAGGACAUUAAUCAUCUUCCACCAACACCAGUCUGGCCAGUUAUGUCACAUUCCUCACCACAUGGAGCAAACAUUGUCAGAAUUUAGGAUUUAUAUUUAUUUUAUCACACAAGUCCAUUUACCUUUUCAUAUUUCCAGCAUUAAAAUGACUUAUUUUGACAAUGUAGGUGCUAUGCAAGGCAAUAGUUUUUUCUUCUUCGUGUAUAGUGCAUUUCACAAGUAUUAAAAGCCCUUCUCGUAUUAUUACAUUUUGAGUUGUAACAACUAAAAUCUUUAAUAAAUUUCAUUGGGGUUUGUUGUAAUUGAUCAGAGUGAAGUAGUGCAUAAUUGUGAAGUGGAAGGUAAAUGGUUUUCAUUGGGGGAGGGGGGCUUGUGGAAAAAAAGGAGAUAAAAGUUUGAAAAGUGUGGUUUGCACAUGUAUUUGGGAUCCUAAUUGAAUUUUUUGUUGAGCAACCCUUCUUCUAACAUAGUGACAUCUAGAAUAGAGCUGCACAAUAUGAAAAAAUCUAGCAUAUCAUUUGUGUGUAGUGUGAACAUCCGCUCUUGUAUGGCUCUGUCCAACUAGCUAAAUAGUUGGCAAGUAAAACACAACUUUGUAACUUCCUUUGGAACAUAUUAGCCAACAAUUACUGCACUCUAGACAGUCCUUUCCAAUAUGAGUAUUACACACACUGAUCUGGUGAUGACAAUAUGUUUGUGAUGUAUUGUGCAGCCUUAAGCGAUACCCUGAUUGUUCUUUUCAGAAUAGCAUAGAGAUUAAAUUAACAGAUUACGUAUCGUAGCAAAACUAGCUAAAUACAUGCGCACGGCACACUUCAAAGUAUUGAUUUGGAAAAAGCAAAUGUAGAAUACUAUGUGGCAUGUAUCCACUCAAAAGUUAGGCACUGCUUUGUGUUGAUUUAUCACAAAAUAUGUUUCAUCCCAAAAAUAUUGACAUUUGUAAUUGUAACAUGACAAGAUGUGAAAGAGUUCCAGGGGUGUAUAAACAUUUGCAAGGCACUGUACAGUCAGAUCUUAACCAUUUACUGUAGGAGCAGAUGUGGUAACAGCACGUCGAUCUGUGAGAAUGUUUCUGUUUAACUGUUCAUCUCAUCAUGACAAAGAGUGGAUGCACAUCUGUACAAACCAUUUCUUUUCAAUCAUACCAGCAGCUACAGCUAAAAAAAAAAGAAGCAGAUUUCUUUACAGCUGUUGGGGGUUUAUGUUUGUCUAAAAUAGGAGGGUUUUUUUAACAUUUAUUUGUGUAUUUGUUUCAGUAUUCUAAGUGGUGCAUUAUUUAUUUUUCUACAGUUUUCUUUUUGUAAAUGAAGGCAUUUUUGUUGGGUUCUGAGCAGCAUUCCUUUUUAGUUUCUGAUGCCAGUUUUUGUGUUGAUAUGACAGAACUUUAAGCUCAUAAUGAGGCAUCAUAAAACAAAUCUGCAAAUGUAACAUUGGUAGAAAUUGAGAGGGCAUUUGCAUGUUAUUGUAAUGUGUACUUAAUGUGCAUUUACGUCAAUUUAUAGGCCUUACAUCACACGAGUACAUCUGCUUCGUCGAACUUUGUGUGUCAACUAUGACGACACACCAAUUAUAAAUUCAUGACGGCCUUGUCUCGCUUUUUUUUUUCCUUCUUUGUCUCUUUACAUUGAAUGUAGUUUGAUAUAUAUGUAUAGUGGAAUAUUAAUGUACUGUUGAGAUGUGCUCAUUUGAUAUAAAGUGCAAUUUAUACUUUGGUUCAUGCGUGUAGCAUCAAAUGCUGCUUAACUAUCACACUACAGUGGUUUUCUUUAGCUUCAUUUGUUCAACCCUGUAUACCACUACCUGGAGACAUGGAGGGAUAUGUAAACACAGACUUUUAAUUAAAUCUUAAUUUACAGGAUUUUUUGUUUCAAUCUUUUUUCAAUCGAUAGUUGUGUCAACAUUUAAUAGUUUGUUUUGGUAAUUAUUUUUUGUUUUGUUUUGAUUACCAGCCUUUGCUUUAGUACAGCUUUUGUUCUCAUAAGGUGCUGUAACUUUAGAAUGUGCAGCUAUUUUUUUUUUUUUUAUUUUAUUAAACAUGGUUUGCUUGAGUUUGGUGUUAAAAGUUUCACAUUUAGUUUACUAAGCUAGACAUAAGUGCCAAAAUAUAUUAACUAUUGACUUUCUAUUGAGCUGCACAAUUGGUACUAAUAGGAUGCUGUGCUGCACAAAAGCCUCUUGCUUAAGGUUCCUCUGAGGCAGACUUUUUCAACUCUGGUCCUCAGGUACACUAUUCUGCAUGUUUUAGAUGUUUCCUUGCUUUAAUAAAAAUAACAGACAAUGGUAGUUCUUUAAAAAAAAAAAAAGUUAAUCAGCCAUCAAUUGAAAUCACGUGCGUCAAAGCAGGGAAACGUCUGCAACUUGCAGGGCAGUGUACCUUGAUAGCCAGUGUUGGAGAAGCACUGUACUAAAAGUUAGGACAGUGUUUCUAACUCUGAAUGGCAUGUGAACUGAUCAAAAAUUUGUCCUUUUGAUACUUUUUUUUUGUUUUAGUACCAAAAAACCUUUUUUAUUUUAUUUUCUAGUUUGGAGCAGAUUUAUUUCCUAAGUUUUCCAAGGUGUCUUUUUUUUCUUAGUUUGGCCCCUAGAAACAGUCAAAAAGAUAGAUAAGUGACGUUGGGUAUAUUUACCACAUUUGGACUUUAUUAAAUUUACUUUAUCUUGGUUGUGGAGGAAAACUUUCAGCUGGAUGGUUGUCAUUCACACUACAGCGCCUCUUGUGGCAAAAAGAAUUAUAACAUGCAGAAAAGUUGAUGUGAAUAAAAUCCCACAUUCACUGAAAAGACUUAUUUUUGUUUUCUAAACUAAAUUAAAAUAAAUAAUUUAUAAAGUUUUAAACACAAUAAGAAAAUCAGAAGUGAUCACAUUUGAUACUCCUUAAAUCUGUUUGCAUGUGGCUUUUAAGGGCAACUGAAAGAUGAACUAAAAUAGUUAAAACAUUUUGUCUGCCAGUAUGUCUUUGGUAUAUUGAAAAAAAAUACUGAUUAGACUAGAGGACACAGGGAAGUGCAAACAUUAUUUUCCACUGAUCCAAACUUUCCAAGAGAAAAAGCAGACACAAGACAAAAGAGUUGCAUCCACAAUGUUGUUGCUGCUGCAUUAAUGUUUAAGCACAGGGAUUUUCUUGGAUCAACAAAAAUUCUUAAGCCAAAUUGAAAGAGCAAAUUUGUCAUGUAUCUUAAUUCUGGUUUUGUUUGCAUAACUCAAACAAAAAGUUUGAGUUAUUGGACAUGUUUUUUAUAUGUUUUUCUUUCAGCCUUGUUUCUUUUAUUGAUGCAAUACCAACUUUAUCUACAUUUCUUGAUCUCACAUUCUGUAUUUUAAGCUGAUAUUUCAUGUGACUGUGCUGUUGGAGGAAAAUAAACCGUCUUUUAAGUA
Long non-coding RNA from Xiphophorus hellerii (green swordtail), 5831 nucleotides. RefSeq lists it as uncharacterized. Lineage: Eukaryota; Metazoa; Chordata; Actinopteri; Cyprinodontiformes; Poeciliidae. The record is from RefSeq and is a predicted model, not a curated record. The transcript has 3 exons.